Pundamilia nyererei is the source of this 242-nucleotide long non-coding RNA. RefSeq lists it as uncharacterized. NCBI's taxonomy places the organism in Eukaryota, Metazoa, Chordata, Actinopteri, Cichliformes, Cichlidae. The record is from RefSeq and is a predicted model, not a curated record. The transcript has 3 exons.
GGUGAAAGAAGAUGAGUGGGAGGAGCUCAGCUCUGACAUCGCUGCACUGCAUCGACUCCAAGGACUGUCUAAACACAUGUUUGAUGAAAGCUUUAUGAACACCUCAACAACCAGGGGAAACGACUACCACCAAUCAAGAUUUGGAAGAUCUGUGAAAAGGCUGGACACUGAAGAAAACCCGCUCACUUUGCUGGAUGGAUUUCAGGACUGUGAAAACGUCACAGCUCAUGUCAUUACGAAGG